GCUGCUCCAAGCUUCAAGACAACCUGUUUUCAUGACUAAGUCCAAAGUGAUUUCAUCCUAAUUGCUUGGUUUUGGUCAUUAGGAACCUAUUUCCAUUUGUAGCAAUUGUAGCAAUUUUUCACUGUAAUUACUUAGUUUAGUUUUUUUUAGACAAAAUGUGAGUUUGGAUUAUUUGGGACUUAUUGAAUUAAAUUUUAAUUAUGUAAUU
This 208-nucleotide long non-coding RNA is filed under the name Lathyrus oleraceus (garden pea). RNAcentral describes it as "Pisum sativum (pea) long non-coding RNA (PSAT_LNC014884)". The record is from RNAcentral. Lineage: Eukaryota; Viridiplantae; Streptophyta; Magnoliopsida; Fabales; Fabaceae.